UCUGCUGGCUGGCAGGCAAGGUUGUGACAGGCCAUGCUCUAGCCACCCAAAACUGUGAUAACAUGGAACUAAGUUAAGGGGAUAGACUCACUCCUUUCUACCUUCACCUUGGUUACAACUCACUCCACACUGCUUCCACUUCCAUCUCCAGCAGGUACCCCAGUAUGUACCCGAUUGCAUACAACUUGCACUCUACCCUGGGUCCUGAGCAGUGAUCGCAUGUGCUAGGAGAGCAACAGAUCAGCACACCUAGCUGGCACCCAUUCCAUGCAUUUCGAGGUGAGAGAUACUCUGGAAGGCAUCAAUAGCGUAAUGGGCAGGGAUGGAGGACUUUUGGCCAGCAAACGAUACAAGAUUCAUCAGCUGAGGAGAAGGGCCCGUAGUUCUGCUCCUGACACUCUCCCUUGCUCCAGGGCUGGAACAUCACCUCUCUGAACAAAGUCAGCUACAUCAGCAAAAGUGUUCUUCCAUCAACAUAGCUGCAUUUACACUGAGGGUUUGGUUGGCAUAGCUCUCAGUCAAGGGUAUGUAUUUUUCAUACACCCGGACUGCUGAAGCUAUGUUGAACUAACAUCUAAGUACAGACCAACCCUACAGAGAGGGUGAGUUGUAAUUGUUGUCAGUGCCCCCAGUCUCCCUUAAGCUCUGAAGCAAGACCCCAUGACAAAAGGAGUUGGAGGAGCUGAAUGUGAUGGUAUCAGAAGCUACACUGUCAGUUACAAGCUUCAGCGUCAACAUUAUCAGCUACCAAUUUUAUUUUAAGCAUUCUCAGAAUAUGCUAAUGUAUAUGAGCUAUACACAGAAGCUGAAAGGGCUAUUAAAAAGAUCUGAUGCAAAACAAUGCUGAUAUAGAGUACUAAUUAUUGCUUGAAUGGAGCGCACAGGAAGAACUACCAGCUGGUUGAUGAGCCCUCUUCUCUUUUUAACUUAAUUGUCUCUUGUUUUCAAACAGAUCACCAGAGAUGACAAUCUGUCACAAGACAAAAAUAAAACUGUGUUAUAGAGAAGUUUUAAAAAGUCUGAGCUAUCACGGGAGAAUAAUCAACAGAGUUUGAGGUUUGAAAGUUGACUUCAUUUCUUCUCAUAACACAAGAACUAGGGGUCACCAAAUGAAUAGGCAGCAGGUUUAAAACAAAUAAAAGGAAG
Molecule: long non-coding RNA, 1146 nt
Organism: Mauremys mutica (yellowpond turtle)
Lineage: Eukaryota; Metazoa; Chordata; Testudines; Geoemydidae
Exons: 4
Source: RefSeq, a predicted model, not a curated record